GAAAUGCGAUAAGUAGUGUGAAUUGCAGAAUUCAGUGAAUCAUCGAAUCUUUGAACGCACAUUGCGCCCCUUGGUAUUCCAUGGGGCAUGCCUGUUCGAGCGUCAUUUGUACCCUCAAGCUCUGCUUGGUGUUGGGUGUUUGUCCCCGUCUCCGCGCGUGGACUCGCCCCAAAGUGAUUGGCAGCCGGCAUACUGGUCCCGGAGCGCAGCACAUGUCGCGCAAACGAGUGCCUUGGUACGGCGGCGUCCAUAAGCCCCUCUCUCACGCUCUUGACCUCGGAUCAGGUAGGGAUACCCGCUGAACUUAAGC
This 310-nucleotide unclassified non-coding RNA is filed under the name plant metagenome. Its description in RNAcentral is "partial contains 5.8S ribosomal RNA, internal transcribed spacer 2, and large subunit ribosomal RNA". The stretch from base 1 to 105 matches the Rfam family "5.8S ribosomal RNA", at positions 50 to 154 of the family's 154-position model. The record is from RNAcentral.